GCCAUUGAUGACAGUUUUUUAAUUAUGGUUUACUGAAAAGCUGGUUUUAAUGGCAGUUACGUUGUUGAAAAUCAUGAACUAGGACGGUCUGAGGC
Small nucleolar RNA from Cynara cardunculus var. scolymus (artichoke), 95 nucleotides. RefSeq annotates it as small nucleolar RNA snoR20a. The transcript has a single exon. The record is from RefSeq and is a predicted model, not a curated record. NCBI's taxonomy places the organism in Eukaryota, Viridiplantae, Streptophyta, Magnoliopsida, Asterales, Asteraceae.